Molecule: ribosomal RNA, 252 nt
Filed under: uncultured bacterium
Lineage: Bacteria
Description: partial 16S ribosomal RNA
Rfam family: Bacterial small subunit ribosomal RNA
Source: RNAcentral
ACGGAGGAUCCAAGCGUUAUCCGGAAUCAUUGGGUUUAAAGGGUCCGUAGGUGGAUAAUUAAGUCAGAGGUGAAAGUUUGCCGCUUAACGGUAAAAUUGCCUUUGAUACUGGUUAUCUUGAAUUAUUGUGAAGUGGUUAGAAUAUGUAGUGUAGCGGUGAAAUGCAUAGAUAUUACAUAGAAUACCAAUUGCGAAGGCAGAUCACUAACAAUAUAUUGACACUGAUGGACGAAAGCGUGGGGAGCGAACGGG